Molecule: ribosomal RNA, 1522 nt
Filed under: Astrothelium nitidiusculum
Lineage: Eukaryota; Fungi; Ascomycota; Dothideomycetes; Trypetheliales; Trypetheliaceae
Description: bacterial SSU rRNA
Rfam family: Eukaryotic small subunit ribosomal RNA
Source: RNAcentral
AUACAUGCUUAAAAGUCCGACUCACGAAGGACUGUAUUUAUUAGAUUCAAAAACCAAUGCCCUUCGGGGCUCCUUGGUGAUUCAUAAUAACUUCACGAAUCGCAUAGCCUUGUGCUGGCGAUGGUUCAUUCAAAUUUCUGCCCUAUCAACUUGAUUGUAGGAUAGUGGCCUACAAUGGUGGCAACGGGUAACGGGGAAUUAGGGUUCUAUUCCGGAGAAGGAGCCUGAGAAACGGCUACUACAUCCAAGGACGGCAGCAGGCGCGCAAAUUACCCAAUGCUAAUUCAGCGAGGUAGUGACAAUACAUAUCGAUCCAGGGCUCUUUCGGGUCUUGGAAUUGGAAUGAGUACAAUUUAAAUCCCUUAACGAGGAACAAUUGGAGGGCAAGUCUGGUCGACAAUCAGUCACGUGCUGGCGCCAGCAAUAAUGAGGGGCCCUUAUUGCAACACCUCUUAGUCGAGCAUUCAGAUUAUGUAAUGGGAUGAAUGCCGGCCCAGGCAACCUGGUACGAGGAAACCAAUGAGGUCAUUGGUAAUCUCGUGGCAUGCUUGCACAAUUCCAUUGUGCACGAGUUAUGCUGUAACGCGCGGAAAGGUGCCGGUGAUCAAUGAAAAGAUCAUUCAUGGAACGUGCUAUCACCACACGGAUAGUGUGUCUUGCAGCGUGAGCUCCCAUUAAGUAAGCGCUACAAGAGUGUACUACUACACGAAACAACCACCGAGAGGCCAGCAGCCGCGGUAAUUCCAGCUCCAAUAGCGUAUAUUAAAGUUGUUGCAGUUAAAAAGCUCGUAGUUGAACCUUGGGCUUGGCUGUAUGGUCCAUCUUACGAUGCGUUACUUUACGGCCGAGCCUUUUCUUCUGGGGAACCGCAUGGCCUUUAUUGGCUGUGUUGGCGAUCCAGGACUUUUACUUUGAAAAAAUUAGAGUGUUCAAAGCAGGCAUUUGCUCGAAUACCUUAGCAUGGAAUAAUAGAAUAGGACGCCAGUCUUAUUUUGUUGGUUUCUAGGACUGUCGUAAUGAUUAAUAGGGAUUGUCGGGGGCGUUAGUAUUCGAAUGUCAGAGGUGAAAUUCUUGGAUCACUCGAAGACUAGCUACUGCGAAAGCAUUCGCCAAGGAUGUUUUCAUUAAUCAGUGAACGAAAGUUAGGGGAUCGAAGACGAUCAGGUAAUUAAUCACGUGCUAUCCCCUUAUUCAUUACAUAAGCUAACCCUUCUUAGAUACCGUCGUAGUCUUAACCGUAAACUAUGCCGACUAGGGAUCGGACGAUGUUUUUUUCUUGACUCGUUCGGCACCUUACGAGAAAUCAAAGUUUUUGGGUUCUGGGGGGAGUAUGGUCGCAAGGCUGAAACUUAAAGAAAUUGACGGAAGGGCACCACCAGUAAGGCCGUCAACCUAAUUUCCAAUUGAUUUAUUGCUAACAUUUCUAUAGGGCGUGGAGCCUGCGGCUUAAUUUGACUCAACACGGGAAAUCUCACCAGGUCCAGACACAAGAAGGAUUGACAGAUUGAGAGCUCUUUCUUGA